RNAcentral lists this ribosomal RNA (363 nucleotides) under uncultured bacterium. RNAcentral's name for it is "partial 16S ribosomal RNA". It matches the Rfam family "Bacterial small subunit ribosomal RNA", at positions 338 to 698 of the family's 1533-position model. The record is from RNAcentral.
CCUACGGGUGGCAGCAGUGAGGAAUAUUGGUCAAUGGUCGCAAGUCUGAACCAGCCAAGCCGCGUGCGGGAAGAAGGUUCUUAGUAUUGUAAACCUCUUUUGUAAGGGAGCAAAGGCUGAUACGCGUACCCGGAUGAGAGUACCUGACGAACAAGGAUCGGCUAACUCCGGGCCAGCAGCCGCGGUAAUACGGAGGAUUCAAGCGUUAUCCGGAUUUAUUGGGUUUAAGGGGUGCGCCGGCGGUCUGAUAAGUCAGCGGUGAAAGCCCGGGGCUAACCCUCGGCAUUGCGUGUGAUACUGUGAGGCUAGAGGGUGGUUGCGGUAGGCGGAAUUUUUGGUGUAGCAGUGAAAUGCUUAGAGAUC